UGGUUCAUCACAGUUCAUGACUUUGCAGGCAAGUUGCUGCUGUUUUAUUUGUGUUGUUAAGGAACAUACGUGGGAAGAUAAUAUAUCUAACCUAUUGUAGUUAUUCAGAAGUGCAUUUUAGUCAGACACUGUGAUUCUGUUGUUGAGAUUUAUUAAAUUUUCUCAGCAUGUAAGCUGCUAUGUUUCAUUGUUGAGAAAAUACAGAAUUUCCUUAAUUUUCUUUCAAGUAAAAAAAGUACAUUUAAAUCACGGAGUGUUUCUGUGAAAUCCUGAUCACUUUAAUCAAGUUAGAACUUUUUAUUGAAGGAAAACUCAUUUACCUAGCACCAUAUUGGAAGAAAUGUAAUGUAAUGCAAUGUAAAGUAAUAGAAAUAAUAUAAUAUCGUUUUAGUUUCUGGGGAAAUGUAAUAACAGACUCACUAUGUAGUUUCUUCCCUAUGUUUGUAAGUGUGGGGUGUGGCUGUGUGAGCAUAAUAAACAUGUAAUUAACUGAGUUCAUGGAAUCCCUAAAGACAAAGAACACAACUCUGAGCCUGACGUUAUCCCAAGGCAUAAAUAAUUGUUGCUUGGCUUCUUUCAUCACUAAGGCCUUUUAUCCCAUUCUGGCUUGAGACCAUCUUCUCUCCAUUUCCUUGUGCUGCCGCCACGAAGUCCCAUGAAGUCCAUCACAUGAUGAAGGCCAUUGCCGGUGGGACUCCACGGAGGCAGCACAAGGAAACAGAGGGAAGUCUCUAUUUGCAGGAAACAGGUUCUACCUGACUCCCAACUGCAGAAGCUGCAGAGAAGGCAGGAAAAGCGGAAAAGAACUGGCCAGCUACAGAAGAUCUUGCUGGCCGGAAGGUUGGCAGUUCAAGCUGUGGGUUGAGGUGAACUUCCGCUGUCAGCCCCAGCUUCUGCUUACCUAGCAGUUUGAAAACAACAAUGUGAGUAGAUAAAUAGGUACUGCUUUGGCAGGGAGAUAAAAGGCAUCCUGAAAAUGUGCCAGCAAAAUCCGAUCAAGAAGGUGUCCAUGGAUGACAGGCUCCUCAGUGUGAAAAUAAUGAAACAGCACCUCCCCAUGACUGAGUCAAGCACAGCCUCCAGAUGCCAGAGAUGAAAACUGGAAAGCCUUGCCUCUGUUUAUGUCUGUCUUUGACAAUUGUAUAAAUGACAUUGAAUGUUUGCCAUUCAUGUACUUGUAAUCUGCUCCAGGUACCCUCGGGGAGAUAGAGUGGAAUAUAAAUAAAGUAUAUUAUUAUUAUCAUUAUCAUUAUUAUUAUUCCCAAUAGACAACUCUAGUUUGCUCC
RNAcentral lists this long non-coding RNA (1286 nucleotides) under Anolis carolinensis (green anole). RNAcentral's name for it is "lncRNA (ENSACAG00000035411.1)". The record is from RNAcentral. Lineage: Eukaryota; Metazoa; Chordata; Lepidosauria; Squamata; Anolidae.